RNAcentral lists this ribosomal RNA (497 nucleotides) under uncultured bacterium. RNAcentral describes it as "partial 16S ribosomal RNA". It matches the Rfam family "Bacterial small subunit ribosomal RNA", at positions 28 to 507 of the family's 1533-position model. The record is from RNAcentral.
GAUGAACGCUGGCGGCGUGCCUAAUACAUGCAAGUCGAACGAACAGAUAAGGAGCUUGCUCCUUUGUCGAUAGCGGAGGACGGGUGAGUAACACGUGGGUAACCUACUUCUCAUACUGGGAUAACUUCGGGACUCCGGAGCUUAUACCGGAUAACAUUUGGAACCGCAUGGUUCUGGAGUGAAAGAUGGUUUUGCUAUCACUUAUAGAUGGACACGCGCUGUAUUAGCUAGUUGGUAAGGUAACGGCUUACCAAGGCGACGAUACGUAGCCGAUCGGAGAGGGUGGUAGGCGACACGAGAGCGGGGACGCGGACCAGAGGCCUACGAGAGGCAGCAGAAGGGAAUGUGAGGCAAUAGGCGAGAGCCUGACGGAGUAGGGGCGCGUGAGUGAUGAAGGGUCUCGGUGCGUAAAACUCUGUUAUUAGGGAAGAACAAAUGUGUAAGGAACUGAGCACGUCGUGACGGUACCUGAUCAGAAAGCAACGGCUAACUACGUG